CAUCGCAAAGGAAAUGGUGUCUUCCUAUUUGAACCGUCCCGAUUCAACUCGCGACUGAUGGCGCCUACAAAUAG
RNAcentral lists this non-coding RNA (74 nucleotides) under Niastella vici. RNAcentral's name for it is "Fluoride sequence". It matches the Rfam family "Fluoride riboswitch aptamer (crcB RNA motif)". The record is from Rfam by way of RNAcentral. Lineage: Bacteria; Pseudomonadati; Bacteroidota; Chitinophagia; Chitinophagales; Chitinophagaceae.